Molecule: long non-coding RNA, 922 nt
Filed under: Elaeis guineensis (African oil palm)
Lineage: Eukaryota; Viridiplantae; Streptophyta; Magnoliopsida; Arecales; Arecaceae
Description: long non-coding RNA (EGUI_LNC022540)
Source: RNAcentral
UCCCACUUGUAGCCAUCGACAGUUGGUGUCCUCCCCGAUUACAUCAGUGUUCCCCAGCAUUUUGUUGACAAAUAGAAAUUUAAAGAGGAUUAGAGGCAUCGGCAAUAAUGAUCAAUCAUACAUGAUAUUGGAUCUUUGAAUAAACAUAUCUGUCAUCAUCAGUUAUUGCUGAAUCUCUGACUGGUCCUAGAUGUCAAACCUUAAGCAUACACAAUCAUAAAUGUGUAUCUUUUUGGCAAUAAUGGUUGAAUAUCUGACUGAUCCUAGAUCAAAUCUUAAGCAUUCUACACAUACAUAUACAUACAUACAUACAUACAUACAUACAUACAUACAUACAUACAUACAUAUAUAAUAUAACAAUCAUAACAGUGUAGCAUUUGUGCAACUAUGUGAAUUUUGUGAAGACCUCAGAAGUCAGAUAAGUUCAUGGCUCAUCUGAGGGGUACAUCUCACUGUCCGUAUGGUGAACACCAAUUUCAGAAACUAUGAUACACAGGGUUAAGUUAUGCAGUGUAAAGUUUGUAUAGUAUCAGUUUCAAUGUGAUGAGAACAAUUCAAUGAAUAAACAGUCAGUAAAAUUUGCAGCAAGAUCAUCAACGAAGGCCUAGAAAAAUGUUAUCAUUUAAAGAGAUUGUGUCUUGCAUGCGAUUUUUUCCGCUGUUUGCUGAGACGGGGUCACAUGGCAUGGAAGGAACAGGGCAAGGAUGGAGGAUACAUGUCAUGUUCCUUACUUUCUUUCCUCCAUUUUUUCCCAUUAGUGCAGGCUGCACAGGAGAAAGGAGGCUUCAGGGUCUGGAGGAAACCAGCCUCCACACUUUCCCAUUAUAGAUAGGAAGAGUUAAGGUGUGACCAAAUCUUAAAAACCAAUACAGGACUCCAGUACAAUACACUUGUGGCAAUACAAUAGGUUAUAGGAUAUACC